AGAGUUUGAUCCUGGCUCAGAACGAACGCUGGCGGCAGGCUUAACACAUGCAAGUCGAACGCCCCGCAAGGGGAGUGGCAGACGGGUGAGUAACGCGUGGGAAUCUACCUAGCUCUACGGAAUAGCUUCGGGAAACUGGAAUUAAUACCGUAUACGCCCCAAGGGGGAAAGAUUUAUCGGAGUUAGAUGAGCCCGCGUUGGAUUAGCUAGUUGGUGGGGUAAUGGCCUACCAAGGCGACGAUCCAUAGCUGGUCUGAGAGGAUGAUCAGCCACACUGGGACUGAGACACGGCCCAGACUCCUACGGGAGGCAGCAGUGGGGAAUAUUGGACAAUGGGCGCAAGCCUGAUCCAGCCAUGCCGCGUGAGUGAUGAAGGCCUUAGGGUUG
Molecule: ribosomal RNA, 387 nt
Filed under: uncultured bacterium
Lineage: Bacteria
Description: bacterial SSU rRNA
Rfam family: Bacterial small subunit ribosomal RNA
Source: RNAcentral